Molecule: non-coding RNA, 340 nt
Organism: Acidovorax sp. 12322-1
Lineage: Bacteria; Pseudomonadati; Pseudomonadota; Betaproteobacteria; Burkholderiales; Comamonadaceae
Rfam family: Bacterial RNase P class A
About the family: Ribonuclease P (RNase P) is a ubiquitous endoribonuclease, found in archaea, bacteria and eukarya as well as chloroplasts and mitochondria.
Source: Rfam
GAAGUUCGCCAGACUGCCGCUGGUGCAAGCGUGGAAACACGGCACUGGAGGAACGUCCGGACUGCAUAGGGCAGCGUAGCAGCUAACAGCUGUCCACCGUGAGGUGAGGAUCAGAGCAACAGAGACGUAGUCUUGGGGGCGUACCGCAAGGUAAACCACCAAGGGUGAAACGGGCAAUCUCUACGCGCAGCAAUACCAAGUAGGCACACGUUGACGGGGCCCCCGGAGUGUGCGGGUAGGUAGCAUCGAGCCAGUUGGGCGACCACUGGCCCAGAGUAAUGGCAGUCACGCAGCGGGUAACCGCUGUGCACAGAAUCCGGCUUAUCGGCGGACUUCACAC